GUGGAAGGUAGCGCAGUGCUGUCAGCUUCGAAAUGAUUCAGUCACUUUGGAAAUUUAUCAGUUAUUGGUAUUUCAGAUAUUUAAUGGUGACUGAAUUGUACAUGGUAGAGAGGUGGGAGAGAGCAGUCAUAAAUGUUGCCAUACUUGUGGUAUUUCUAAUGCUAUCAUAUUUCAAUUAUGCUGUUCUGCUUUAUGCCACAUCAUCAAUUGUGAGAUACACUUUAGUUUAGUGCUCGGACAUAUGCACAGUGCUGCCUUUUUAUUUUGUGUUAUAAGCAUAGUGUCUCAACAUGAAAGUGGGAUAUCAGUUUACACAAAAUUAUAAAGGUCAUCUGGUUUUGUGAUAAAGUCACUGAAAUUUAUUUUCAGUUGUGUAUCCCAUGACAAACUACAUGCAUUCCAUACAGUACACGAUAGUCUGAGUAGCCUAUGUCAUUUAUCUUGGUGUACUGUUUAGUUGAAAAGGAAGCUCUGCGAGAAAUUCAGAAUUCUAAAAUUUAUUACUAUGUUAUGAAAGAAAUGUGUAUUUUGCAAUAUGCUACUUAUUAAUAAUAAACAAUGGACUUUUAUAUA
Long non-coding RNA from Schistocerca piceifrons (Central American locust), 573 nucleotides. RefSeq lists it as uncharacterized. NCBI's taxonomy places the organism in Eukaryota, Metazoa, Arthropoda, Insecta, Orthoptera, Acrididae. The record is from RefSeq and is a predicted model, not a curated record. The transcript has 2 exons.